CAAGUAGGUGGUCUCAUUUGUUUAGGGUGAAAUCCUUGGGCUUAACUCAAGAAGUGCCCUAAAAACGGUGAGACUCGAGUUCUGGAGAGGGUCGUGGAAUUCCCGGUGUAGCGGUGAAAUGCGUAGAGAUCGGGAGGAACACCAGAGGCGAAGGCGGCGACCUGGACAGACACUGACACUCAACUGCGAAAGCGUGGGGAGCAAACAGGAUUAGAUACCCUGGUAGUCCACGCUGUAAACGAUGGGAACUAGGUUUGAUGGGUCUUGACCCCCGUCGAACCGGCGCUAACGCACUAAGUUCCCCGCCUGGGAAGUACGGUCGCAAGACUAAA
This 332-nucleotide ribosomal RNA is filed under the name uncultured bacterium. RNAcentral's name for it is "bacterial SSU rRNA". It matches the Rfam family "Bacterial small subunit ribosomal RNA", at positions 568 to 898 of the family's 1533-position model. The record is from RNAcentral.